CCAUAUUCUAUUAGUCAGUACAGUGCAAUAGACAGAGCCCUGAUCCAAGGGAAAGGUACACAGAUGCCACCUGUCAAAGGAAGGAAUGUCAAAUUUGUGGCCAUUCUUCUUCUACCAUAAAUAUGUAUUCUGUGCUUGUGCAUUUACAAUUACACAAAUGAAUCCAUGGUUAUUUUAACACUUCAAACAUACAAAGAGUGAAAACUUUCUCUUUUCCCCUCCCCAAACUGCACUUUCUUUUCAAAUAUUUUUAGUAAGAGCUGGUCUUUAUCCAUGUGAAUCUUUUUCUACUUAUUAAGUAUAUUUCGAUUUUGCUUACUCUUACAAAGAACCAAAUUCCUAUUAUUCUGAAAAUUACUCUUUUCAUUGAGCAAUAUAUUUUAGGUAUCUUAAUUUUAAAUUACAUAUAAUUAAAAAUUAUUACCUAGUAUUCCAUAGGAAUUCCAUACUAGGUAUUCCAUUCCUAGUAUUUCAUACUAAGUAGUGUAGAUAUAUUUUGUAUAUUUAGAUGGUUUAUAGUCUUGGGUUAUUGCAUGCAAUAUUGUUCCUUUCAUUCCUCUUUAUACAUGUGUAAAAGUUUCACUAAGAUAUAUACCCAAAAUAGAAUCACUAAAUUGAUGGAUAUUAACAUUUUAAAAAGGGGCUGUUUAAACAGGCAUUGCCAUUUUAUACUUUCUUCAGCAGUACAAUAUGAGAGUGCCUCUUUUUCCUCAUCAUUGUCAGUUAUGGACAUUAUCUGUCUCUUCAAUUUUAAAAAAUGUAAUGGAUAAAAAUGUUACUUAGUGUGUGCAUUUCAAUUUUCAGUCCCUGAGUUAUUGUUAAGAGUAUGUAUUGAGUCAAUUUCAUAUUUUUUCUGAAUUGCCUAUUUUUGCAAUUCACCUAUUUUCCUAUUGGGUUGUAUGCCAUUUUUAAAAAUGAUUUAAAGAUAUUAUUUACAAAUUCUAUGUGUCCAUUAAUUCUUAGUUCAUCAUAUCUCAGACAUAAUUUCAUCAGAUGAGUAUACGGUGGCUCUGCCUUGCUCUACAUCUUUAACUCACUCUCAGGGAAGUGUUCUCAUGGUCCUCCAUUCCCAUGUGGAGGUUGGAGCCAGUCUCAGAUUGGUGAAGGUUUGGGACCUGCAGAGUGUUCACUUGGAAGGCAGGCUCUGCAUGAUGGAAAGCCAGCUUGCAUACACUCCUGGGAUGAUAAGACUGCCAUGCGCUGGGUGUACCUUAGGGGCAAAUUAGGCAACAGAAACAAAAAUCACCUCCUCAUAUCUAUGAACUUAUGUAAAUAUUGGUGUUGAUUUUUCAGUAGUGACAUGAAAGCAUAUAAAAACAAAUAUGAGUCAUCAUUUUUACCAGUAUCUGAACUCAGACUGUGAUCUGGCCAAUCUGUUUGAUGCAGCCUAUGAGAUAAGCAAGGAGGAUACCAUAUGUUCAAAGGAGGGCACGUGGAGAACAAUUUUAAAAAAGAAGCCUAAAAUACAAAGAUGAUGGAUAUCACCCUUUUUUGUUCACACCAGUUGCUGGGAGAAAGGACCUGCAAUAUCCCCACUUGAACAGCGAGCUCUUUGCGGAGGCAUUUAGAGAAAGGCUAUGAUGGGGGAGGCUGUGGAAGUGAUACCGAGUCACCCUCUGAAUGUUAUGAAUGAUAGAGAAAUUUUAUAGUGGAAAAGUGUUGGAUCCUGCACCCAAGUGCCAAGCAGAGUGUUCAAGACUUGGCUUGGUGGCCUAAGAAAGAGACCAAGCCUGGGUUUUCUCAAGUAUAAUAAUCUUAUGGACAUGUCCAGAGGCCUGGGAGGCUGAGCUGGGCUCCCAGUGAAGCCACUGCCGCCUCCACCCUCUGCCAUCAGUCUGCGGCAGAUUGGUUGUGUUAGAGGAGUAGCUUCUAGUCAGAACCCUCCUUCUUCUAGUUGUACCCCUGCAUAGAGCUAUCAGAGAAAAUAUAGGACUACAGGUAAAUAAUGAAAAACUUUUAGUAUAUGUGUAUCUCUUAUAAUAUUUGGAUAUACUUAUAUAGAAAAAAUUAGUCAUUGCUUAUCUGAAUUUCAAAUUUAAUUGGGUAUUUUAUAUUUUCAUUUGCUAAAUUUGGCAACCCUAUACCAGGCUUUCAAUUUUAUAUUGUAUCCUCUCUUGACCUCUACCUUGCAGCUGCUUUUAGAACUGGUAAAGAAUGGACAUUAUUUGCCAGCAUUUAUCAUUCAGGAUUCUUCAAUAGAAGUCUGUGGAACUUACCAAGUCCAUGUAGCUCAUUGGCUGUUUUCUCCCAUGGGGUGGGAAACCAUGAGAACACAUCCUUGUCAGUGAGUCCUGUGGAGUAAAUAAAGGUCGGCAAAUAAGUCUUGAGAGACUGUCUGGUGAGGGCAGGCCAGAUCAUCACUGCUUCAGAACUGAGGACUCUGCGGUAAAACACAUCAAGUCACUGAAAUGUAAAGCCUUACAAACUGAAGAGUCAUGUAAUGCAAAUAUAUUUUCGCCAAAUUACAGAGCUGUCAUUCCUAUGCACCAUCAGGAGCUAGAGGCUGGGUGUCCGCAAGGGCUGGACACCCAUGUUCACAAUCAAGGGUAGGAUCUUUGAAGAGUAUGACAGGCCCCCUGUACCAAAACUGCUCGUAACCUUAUGAUGUGAGAAAAACAUCAUAAGGUUACUGAGUGUGGAAAUACAUGAUUUAUAAUUUUUUUAUACAGUAAGAAAUGGCUCAUCUCCAGCCACAAAAAACCUUAUGAGCUAUUAGUUCAGACUUCCUCUUAACUGGCACGUCCCUCAUUCUGUGCAAGCUAAGACUGCAGAACUUUAAGGGUUUAAAUUAGAUUUCCCAGACAAAGAGCCAGAGGUGGGGAGUCUUACUCAGUUGGUUUACUGGGAGAGUGUUCUCUGUCAAGAGGAAGCAGGGAAGGGAAAAAAAAUGUGAAUAGAGAAUGUGAAACUAGCUUUAUGUGAUCCCAAUGGGGACUCUGUAGCUAACUUAUUCCAGAGUUGACCCAGCUUUGGGGCGGGUGAGGUGAGGGGCUGAGGAUAAGGGCAGCCAUUUUAUCUUAUUAUCAGUUGAAUUGCUGGGAAGGGGAGAUAAAGGGUUAUUUAACAUUUUGGAGCCCAGGUCAGUUCUUUGGAGAAAGAGGCAGCCAUGGGCCCUGAGUAAACAAUAUCCACAGCUGGAUACGGGUACAUUAGCCAGGUUAAGGGAACCUACAAGGGGACUAACGGCACCUAUACACCCUAUUAUUAGUUAUUUCCUUGGUUUUAUGUGUACCUUUUGCUAUGGGUUUUGCUGGUUCAGUUUUAAGCCAGUUCUGCUCAUUAUCUCCAAAGCUGAAACUAAUUUACCCUUGUCUUCUGGCCCAGCUUUACCCUAAUUCACUCAAAUAUGUUAUGUUUCCUGCAAAAAGGAAAUUUUAUACAUUGGUUGGAUGCAUGUGCCUUUAAGUAAAUGGAAAAUUCCAUCUACCAAUUACAUUAGGGACCAUCUUUGAAAAUUAUGUACAUUUAUAACUCUUCUCUCCCAAUUCUUUCAUAUAUUUUUCUUUCCUGGUAUAGUUAAGAUCUGCUCUUACCUGAGUCUUUAAUCAUUCUUGUACUUUUUUCCCCUUAUAAGAAGAGAAUUAUGCUUAUUAAUAAUUCCACUCAAAAUCACUAUAUGGUUUAGGCUUGCUAAUAGAUGAUGAUGAAUUUUUCACAAGAAUCACAAUAAUUGAUAGUGUUUGCUUCCUUGUUGACAUAUUUAUGAUAUGAAGAUAAGAAUUAAAUCACAGAGCACAGCAGGGGACGAAUCCUCAAAAUUAACAGUAAACAGAAAUAUCUGAGCUAAGUUUAAGUAUUUGUAUAAAGAAUUAGUUUUGAUAAAACUGUUUCAGUAAACUGGACUAAAUAAUAAAAUGUCUAAAACUGUAUAUCUGAGCUAAAAUGUUUCAGUUUAAUCAGUGGUUUUGAAAGUGCUGUCAAGUAAAUGAAUGUCUCAAAAAUAGGGAGUUCCCAUUGUGGCUCAGCGGUAAUGAAUCCAACUAGUAUCCAUGAGGACAUGGGUUCGAUCCCUGGCUUUGCUCAGUGGGUUAAGGAUCCAGCAUUAGCAUGAACUGUGGUGUAGAUCCCAGGCACAGCUUGGAUCUGGCAUUGCUGUGGUUAUGGUGUUGGCCAGCAUCUCAACUCCGAUUUGACCUCUAGCCUUGGAACUUCCAUAUACUGUGGGUGCAAUCCUGAAAAAAAGCUUAAAAAAAAAGAAAAAAAAAAAGCCCAGCUUACCAUUUAGGUAUAGGAAAUACACCUAUAUUCAAAUACAGAAGUCUAAUAAUGUAAGCAUCUGAAGUUGGUGCCCACAGAGUUUUGGUUGAUAUUGUAUAAUGCAAUUGGACGCUUACCUUGUAACAAUCAUACCACAUCAGUAAGGAUGAUAGAAUGUGUUACUAAAAUACUCUUCUAUGUGAACUGUUUUUGUUUUUCAAAGAGUCUGCAUGGACUUCCUCAUCUUCAAAAUGGAAUCAAUCCACAUCUUGUUUUCUGACUAUUUGGUGCCCUUCUCAUGGAGACUGAAUGAAGAAUGCUUUGCAAAUAUCAUUGUGAACUGUAAGUAGUUUCAUGACUAUGAUGUGAUCAUUGAGGUCUCUGUGGCAGGUGAGGGAAUGCAUGCUGAUAUAAUACUUUUGACUGGUUUCUUCCUCAGUUGAAUGACUCUACACAGGAUUUUAACCUCAGUUAAACCACGGGUUCCACACUGGUGUGUUCAUUUUCUGGUCUUUGUAUACAUAAAACGAAGGCUUUACCUUAAUCUAU
Molecule: long non-coding RNA, 4746 nt
Filed under: Sus scrofa (pig)
Lineage: Eukaryota; Metazoa; Chordata; Mammalia; Artiodactyla; Suidae
Description: lncRNA (ENSSSCG00000053016.1)
Source: RNAcentral